Molecule: long non-coding RNA, 1936 nt
Filed under: Macaca fascicularis (crab-eating macaque)
Lineage: Eukaryota; Metazoa; Chordata; Mammalia; Primates; Cercopithecidae
Description: lncRNA (ENSMFAG00000053653.1)
Source: RNAcentral
GGCAGGGUCCCCAUUGCCUGCUGCACACCAGGACUAGCGACUCCCCUCGGCCUCCUCGCCAAAGACGCGGACGACUCCUGGGCCCCCAAGGGCUCCUUGCGGAAGUUCCUGGAGCACCUCUCCGGGGCCGGCAAGGCCAUCGGCGUGCUGACCAGCGGCGGGGAUGCUCAAGUGCCCAGGAGGCUGAUGCCACAUAGAAGACCUGCAGGUCGGUGGAUGUGAAACAGGCAAUGGACACGUUGUGCACCUUGGGACGCAUCUGAGAAGUGCGUGCUUGCAACAGGUCUGAGAAAAUCAUCCUGCACCUCCUGACGUAAGCCCGUACACCUCAGAGCACUCGAUACAGAUGGAGCGACCACAGGGUUCCACGGGGUCCCGGACAGCAUCCAAGUAUGGCGACGCGGAGCUUAGGGAGACCGGCGAUGGCCCACGGAUGACAGUAACCAGCCCCCGGGCUGGGGCGUCCUCUCCAUGCAUGGGCUGACCUAUGGAGUCAUUCGUUUGGACUCCGAAGAGAAGCUCUCCGUGCUCACCAUGCAGGAUGUCAGCCUCGUGAUGCCUGGAGCACCUGGCAAUCGCCAGCCGACUUCCGUUUCUCUGGAUUUGCCCAUUCUGGACACCUGUUGUGAGGAGAAUCGUACAGUGCGUGACCUUCGGUGCUGACAUCUUUCACGUCCAAGGUGAGUGGAAUCUCACAGUGAGUGACCUGUUGACAGAUACCUGGACUGUUUCUACUACUACGAAUAAUGCUGCUAUGAAGAUUCUUGCAAAAUAUUUUCAAUUUUCUUGGGCAUAUGCCUAGGAGUGAAAUUGCUGGGUUGUACGGUGAUUUCAUGCUCAACUUUUCUGAGGAACUGCCAGACUUUUCCAAAUCAACUGUACCAUUUUACUUCCCCUCCCACUAGCAAUAUAUCAAGAUUUCACUUUUCCCAAAUUCACCACCAUGUCACUGUCCAAUACUGGGGUUUUACCCAUCCCGGUGGUUGUGAAGUGGUAUUUCACGGUGGUUUUGAUUUCCAUUUCUAAGAUGAUGAAUUCUGCUAAACAUCUCAUGUGCUUUUUAAGGCAUUUAUAUGUCUUUCUUUGGAGAAUGUCUAUUCAAAUCCUUUGUCCAUUUUUACAUUGGAUUUUUACUAAGAGCUUUUAAAUAUAUUCAUGAUAUCAGGUCCUUAUCGUGAUAAUCUAUCCUGUUCUGUGGGUUGUCUUUUUACUUUAAUAGUAUCCUCUGAAAUGAACAUUUUUAAUUUUGAUACCGUCUUUUUCCCUUCAGUUGCUUGUUAUAGCUUUAAAUGUCUCAGCCAAGGAAACAUUGCCUGAUCCAACGUAGCAGUUUCACCACGAUUCUUCCCUAAAGGUGUCAUGGGCUGAACUGUCCCCCAUCUCAAGAUUCCCAUGUUAAAGUCACAACCCCGGAAACUCAAAAUAUCACUGUGUUUAGAUACAGGGCCUUUAACUUGGAAAUUUAGGUCACCUAAGAUCUUAAGAGUAGGCCCUGAUCCAGUAUGACUGGUAUUCUUUUGAGAGAAUUUAGACACAGUCCUCAGUGCUGCACGCACAUAAGAGAAACCUGUGAGGACACAGAGAGGACGCCGUCUACACAGCAUGGAGUAAGGCCCCAGAGGAUCCAACCCUACCUGCACCUUGAUCCCAGGCUGCUCAUGCCUGUAAUCCCAGCACUUUGGGAGGCAGAGGCAGGCGGAUCAUUUGAGGUCAGGAGUUCGAGACCGGCCUGGCCAACAUGGUGAAACCCCGUCUCUGCUAAAAUACAAAAAUUAGCCUGGCAUGGUGCUGAACACCUGUAGUACCAGCUACUAGGGAGGCUGAGGCAGGAGAAUCGCUUGAACUCAGGAGGCAGAGGUUGAAGUGAGCUGAGGUCACACCACUGCACUCCAGCCUGGGUGGCAGAGUAAGAAUCCGUCUCAAAAAAAAAAAAAAA